UCCCCCUCUUUUUCUUUUUAAGUAAAAUUUAUAGAAAAUAGAAAAAAUAUAAAAACCAAAACUAGAGCCAAUAUUACUAUUCUUUAAACCCUCCUUAAGCUAGAUUUCUAGUAGCAAUUCUUCUUAUUCCUUUUCUUCUCCAACUCCUUCAACCUCAAGCCACCCAAAGAAACCCUAAUCCAACUUUUUAAAAGUCUGAAAACCAUCUUUUAAGGAAAAGAAGACCUAUUGAUGGAUGCUAGAGGUCUAACAUGAGUA
Molecule: long non-coding RNA, 258 nt
Filed under: Elaeis guineensis (African oil palm)
Lineage: Eukaryota; Viridiplantae; Streptophyta; Magnoliopsida; Arecales; Arecaceae
Description: long non-coding RNA (EGUI_LNC030414)
Source: RNAcentral